This 464-nucleotide ribosomal RNA is filed under the name uncultured bacterium. Its description in RNAcentral is "partial 16S ribosomal RNA". It matches the Rfam family "Bacterial small subunit ribosomal RNA", at positions 338 to 795 of the family's 1533-position model. The record is from RNAcentral.
CCUACGGGAGGCAGCAGUGGGGAAUAUUGCGCAAUGGGCGAAAGCCUGACGCAGCGACGUCGCGUGAGGGAUGAAGGUCUUCGGAUUGUUAACCUCUGUCAGCAGGGAAGAACGGUCACUGUGCUAUUCAGCAGCUAAUUGACGGUACCUGCAAAGGAAGCACCGGCUAACUCCGUGCCAGCAGCCGCGGUAAUACGGAGGGUGCGUGCGCUAAUUGGAAUUACUGGGCGUAAAGCGCUCGUAGGCGGUCUGUCAAGUCAAGGGUAAAAUCCCCGCGCUCAACGUGGGAACUGCCUUUGAAACUGGCAAACUGUAGUGUGUGAGAGGAUAGUGGAAUUUCUAGUGUAGGAGUGAAAUCCGUAGAUAUUAGAAGGAACACCAAUAGCGUAGGCAGGAUGCUGGGACGGUUCUGACACUAAGGCACGAAGGCGUAGGGAGCAAACGGGAUUAGAUACCCGUUAGUC